RNAcentral lists this ribosomal RNA (497 nucleotides) under uncultured bacterium. RNAcentral's name for it is "partial 16S ribosomal RNA". It matches the Rfam family "Bacterial small subunit ribosomal RNA", at positions 28 to 507 of the family's 1533-position model. The record is from RNAcentral.
GACGAACGCUGGCGGCGUGCCUAAUACAUGCAAGUUGAGCGCUGAAGGUUGGUACUUGUACCGACUGGAUGAGCAGCGAACGGGUGAGUAACGCGUGGGGAAUCUGCCUUUGAGCGGGGGACAACAUUUGGAAACGAAUGCUAAUACCGCAUAAAAACUUUAAACACAAGUUUUAAGUUUGAAAGAUGCAAUUGCAUCACUCAAAGAUGAUCCCGCGUUGUAUUAGCUAGUUGGUGAGGUAAAGGCUCACCAAGGCGAUGAUACAUAGCCGACCUGAGAGGGUGAUCGGCCACAUUGGGACUGAGACACGGCCCAAACUCCUACGGGAGGCAGCAGUAGGGAAUCUUCGGCAAUGGACGAAAGUCUGACCGAGCAACGCCGCGUGAGUGAAGAAGGUUUUCGGAUCAUAAAACUCUGUUGGUAGAGAAGAACGUUGGUGAGAGUGGAAAGCUCAUCAAGUGACGGUAACUACCCAGAAAGGGACGGCUAACUACGUG